CUCCCAGGUGGCAAUGGCGGCAAUGUUCGUUUGGCGUGUCUCAGAAACUUGUGUCCGUUGGUUCAUCGUUUCGAACUUACGCCACGCUUACGUUACCCCGCUGUUCAGAACAGCCGGCUUUGAAGGGGACUGCUGUGCAUCGAAUGCAAUGAAGAAAGAUGCUGACAGGAUCGAGUGGCCUGAAGAGGCCAGCAGCUGCAUCAAGCCAUGACAGCCCCGUUGGAGGUUCCUCUCCUGUAAAUUUGUCACUGGCAGGGACAAGGGACGUCCAAAUUAUUGCAUCUGGUCAGCUCGACGCAAUCGACAUGGUUGGACCAGCCAUACAAAGCAUUGCGUCAGACACCAGUGUGGCUUCCAGCUGCACCUGUUUCGUUCCUCGUGCAUCUGUUGGUACAGACAGAUCCUGCAGACAUAGGCACACAAGAAGGCACUACAGCAGUGCCCUGCCCCAGCACUCCAGGUUCAAUUGCCGUCUCCAGUUUGAAGGACAACCCCCCAACUGCAGGCCCAGGACAUCCGUCCUCACAGUUCUGCU
RNAcentral lists this unclassified non-coding RNA (535 nucleotides) under Ixodes scapularis (black-legged tick). Its description in RNAcentral is "uncharacterized LOC120849760, transcript variant X3". The record is from RNAcentral. Lineage: Eukaryota; Metazoa; Arthropoda; Arachnida; Ixodida; Ixodidae.